GGCAGGAGGAUCACUUGAGGUUAGGAGUUUGAGACCAGCCUGGCCAACAUAGUGAAACACUGUCUCUACUAAAAAUACAAAAGUUAGCUGGGUGCAGUGGCACAUGCCUGUAAUCUCAGCUACUCAGGAAGCUAAGGCAGAAGAAUCCCUUGAACCCAAGAGGUGAAGGUUGCAGUGAGCCGAGAUCACACCACUGCACUCCAGCUUGAGUAACAGAACGAGAUUCUGUCUCAAAACAAAAAACAAAACAAACAAACAAAAAACAAAAAACAAAACCAACCAACAAACAAAAAACCCAGGUUGAUAGAAGAUGGUAGAUAGAUGCCAGGCAGGGAGCAGGGAAUCCUGGCAGGCUGGGGCUAGGAUGCCAGCAAGCUGAGGCGAGUGGCUUGGAGACCCUGUCCACAUAGAGAUGGAUGCCACUGCAGGUUGGCAGGGGUCUGAUGGGACCUCCCUUGCGCCCUGUGCCCCAGUCGGCCAGCCAGGCCCUGUUUGCCACACAUUUCCCAGGGCUGGAUUCUGGUCCCACCUUUCCUUGCCUUGUCAUAUGGUCCCCACUCAAGUCCCAUCUGGGUUCUGGCCAUAAUCCCAAAAGACACAAUCCCAAACACUAUAAUUCCAAAUGUUAAAAUCCUAACAGAGUAAAAUCUCUAAAAUCUAAAAUUCACAAAAUCACAAUCCUAAAAGAUCAAAAAUCCUGGAAAUAUAAAUCUGGAAGAAAAUAAUUUUUCAAAGUCAUUUUAAAAAAUUAUUUACAUUUUUAACAGGAGAUUUACAUGAGAAACAUUAAAACAUGACAGAACACUUCAUAGGCCAUUUUACACAAGGAAACAGGCAAAAAUGACAUACAUAUAUUUCCAAGUAUAAAUAGGUACACUAACAACAAUCAGGAGGGUAUGACAGUUAUGAGCAGACAAAAAGUGAAAUGUAUAAGCACACAGCACUGUGGCUAGAAAUUAACCACAGCUGGUAAUUGUGUGCACCCAGCUUUAUAACUGUGGUCAUCUGAAAUACCCCGAUGGACAACCUAAGUCUUUGACAAGAUCAAUCAAAAACCAUGAUGGGGCCAGGCGCGGUGGCUCACACCUGUAAUGCCAACACUUUGGGAGGCUGAGGCAGGCAGAUCAUCUGAGGUCAGGAGUUCGAGACCAGCCUGACCAAUAUGGUGAAACCCCGUCUCUACCAAAAUACAAAAAUUAGCUGGGCAUGGCGGCGGGCACCUGUAAUCUCAGCUUCUCGUGAGGCUGAGGCAGGAGAUUCGCUUGAACCCAGGAGGCAGAGGUUGUAGUGAGCAAGAUCACGUCAUUGCACUCCAGCCUGGGGGACAGAGUGAGACUCUGUCUCAAAAAAAUAAAAA
This 1357-nucleotide long non-coding RNA is filed under the name Macaca fascicularis (crab-eating macaque). RNAcentral describes it as "lncRNA (ENSMFAG00000049267.1)". Lineage: Eukaryota; Metazoa; Chordata; Mammalia; Primates; Cercopithecidae. The record is from RNAcentral.